This 2306-nucleotide long non-coding RNA is filed under the name Cricetulus griseus (Chinese hamster). RNAcentral describes it as "lncRNA (ENSCGRG00015035671.1)". Lineage: Eukaryota; Metazoa; Chordata; Mammalia; Rodentia; Cricetidae. The record is from RNAcentral.
CUUCGCUUGGUAAUUUUAGGGGUGGUUGUCAUGGUGUGAAACCCGUGCUUAGCAUUUAUUUCUCAACGCCUGUCCUUGCACGGUCACAAAAUUCUCACUACAAUGGAAAACAGCCUCCAAACAAUUCCCUUUAUCAGCAUCAGAACCAAACCGCUUUAAAAAAAAAAAAACCAAAAACAUUCUGCAAGCAAAUAUUUCGGUUAGAAUUUGGUUGCCUACCCAAAUGUUAUUUAUUCUCAAGAAGGAGAGGUGAUGUCUUGGUGGCGAUGAUACAUAAUUCCUGCCCCUCUUUUUCCGUGUGUGUUGGGGCGGGGCGAGGCUGGGGGUGGUAUUUGAGUAGACGCCAAACGACUCCUAUGGGCUGCUCUCGUCUCUUUCCGGCGCGGACACCAAGGAGUUAAACCCGAGCUCCGGGGCCGCCCCUCUUGCCCCGCCUCCCUCGCUUCUGCGGGACCGCCCUGAUUGGCUGGCACUCCGCCAGCGGGCUGUCCAUCACCAAGUGUAAACAAGGCGCUGAUUGGCUGUUAUCCAGUCCGCACAGGGCCUCCUGAAAAAAGCAAUUACUGGCUUCGCGGUUUCAAGGCUGCCCAAGGCCGCUUGAUGAAAGGAGAUAAACCGAGGACCGUUUCCAGGAUCCCCGCGGGCCGACCCAGGCGGCUCCCGAGCCGAGGUGCGGCGGAGAGCCCGGGGAUCAAAGGCAUCUGAAGAGAAAGGGGAAGCGGGCGCACUGCCGGGCCGGCCUGGCCCCCCGCGGGCCGCGCUGACCUGGGGUGGGGGCGGCGGGCGGGGACUCCGGGACGGGGCCUCGGCCGGCGCCGGCGCCGCUCCGGGUAUAGCCCCAAAGUAAGAUUGGCUUCAAGUCCUCCAAGACACCUGCUUCCACUGCUGGAUGCACCAGACCUGGUUUUGAAGGAAGUACAGUGGCCACAGGAUUACAGAUUUCAGCUGUGUGCAAAUGUGUUCACACAGGUCGAACGGCGGCGGGGUAUGUCUGGAGUGACUCUCAGGAGCCAGAUUUCUGCUGCCUGGUCUCACAGUGUCAGGGAAACCAGAGGAGGCUCCUGCCUCUGCUAGGCCCUAGAAAGACAUGCAGGCUGAGUGUCAGGAACUCCUCCGACCCAGCUUUGCUGAACUCUAGGCCCAGGGUUUGCAGGAUCCACAGCCACCAGCCCCUGGCCACCUCAGUUCCGGCUCCUCACCACCCCAGCCCUGUCAGCAGGCAAUCUCCUACUCUCUUCCUUUCAAGCUCCCACACUGUGAAAAGUCCAGUUAGCCAGACUUCCCCCCCACAGAGAGAGCCUGGUUGGGUCACUUCCCUUGUUCUGGAGCUUUCUCUACCCCCAGCUCCCUGGUGGUAGUCCCGCUUUCGGAGUAGGACUUUACACCCAGCAGAAGAACCCCGGAAGGUUUCUAUCAGUUAUAUGACACAUACACUGUGCACCUUCUCCGUAAUUUCUGUGGAGGAUUGAGUCCUUAGUCUAGUUACCUGCAGUAUUUAUAAACCAAAUAAAAUUUCCUUCCAAGUUCCCAACUGAGUCAGGUCCUGUGGCAAAGCUCUGUCUCUAGCCUGGAGACAACUGGACCACCUGACUGCCGGCUGGAGUGUGGUGUGGCCACCGCCUCUUUUGUUAACAGGACAGUUGAUCCAUUAAAUUAAAAAUCAGUCAAUAGAUCCAUUUUUUCCUAACGUGUGUGAAUACACAUUCCACCCUAAUUCUCAGACAUCAAUGCCAGCGGAGGUAGGGAACUACCAAGGGACGUUUCCACAAGUGGCCCCAAUAGGAAACUACCGGAAUAACCUCAUCACCAGAAUCCAGGAUAGCCAGAGGAACCUGGCUAGGGGCCAUCACUAAACCCCCAGUUCCCCCAACUCACUUUCUAGCAUGCCCCACUUGGGCAGACGCUGAAAUGCGGGGAUGCAGACAGAGCUGUGGGUCAGCCCCAGUGGCACUGGGGAUCCGGCAUGAGGCCCCUUGCGGCUUCUCUCUGCGCGCUGAACGCGCAGACACAAUUGGGGGGGACGGGGUAGUCUUCUUCCCACCGGGUUUUUAAGUAGCAGGAUUUUCAGAUGCAAACAAACAAACAAAAAGCCUCCUGAGGUGGGCGGUAAAAAAAAAAAAAAAAAAUCAAAGCCUCUACAUCCGAGCCAGAAACAAAAGCUCUUUGGAAGUGCCGCGGCGGGCGGGCGGAGUGCAUCUCGGAUCCCGAGGAGGAGCCGCCCGGACCCGCAUCCGGAGAAGGAGCCGGCGGGUGUCCCCACCUGCUCGCCGGCCGCUCAGUCCUGUCCCCGAGAGGAGGAAGGCGGC